Molecule: ribosomal RNA, 490 nt
Filed under: uncultured bacterium
Lineage: Bacteria
Description: partial 16S ribosomal RNA
Rfam family: Bacterial small subunit ribosomal RNA
Source: RNAcentral
AUUGAACGCUGGCGGCAGGCCUAACACAUGCAAGUCGAACGGUAACAGGAAGAGGCUUGCUUCUUUGCUGUCGAGUGGCGGACGGGUGAGUAAUGUCUGGGAAACUGCCUGAUGGAGGGGGUUAACUACUGGAAACGGUAGCUAAUACCGCAUAAUGUCUCAAGACCAAAGAGCGGGACCUUCGGGCCUCUUGCCAUCGGCUGUGCCCAGAUGGGAUUAGCUAGUAGGUGGGGUAACGGCUCACCGAGGCGACGAUCCCUAGCUGGUCUGAGAGGAUGACCAGCCACACUGGAACUGAGACACGGUCCAGACUCCUACGGGAGGCAGCAGUGGGGAAUAUUGCACAAUGGGCGAAAGCCUGAUGCAGCUAUGCCGCGUGUAUGAAGAAGGCCUUCGGAUUGUAAAGUACUUUCAGCGGGGAGGAAGGGAGUAAAGUUAAUACCUUUGCGCAUUGACGUUACCCGCAGAAGAAGCACCGGCUAACUCCGUG